RNA transcript from Anopheles merus, 4407 nucleotides. It is a transcript of the gene named cholinephosphotransferase 1, with no coding region annotated. The transcript has 7 exons. The record is from RefSeq and is a predicted model, not a curated record. Lineage: Eukaryota; Metazoa; Arthropoda; Insecta; Diptera; Culicidae.
GUCAAGCGCUGUUGGAAGGAAAAAAUCGCGUGAUAGAUCGUGCGAGUGUGUGUGUGUGUGUGCGUGCGAUUCGUCAGAAAUCAUACGUAGAAACCGUUUCGCAGUUCGCCAGACAGGACGAGAGUGGUGGAAUCGCGCGAUUAUUCCAUCCAGUACGGGCUACAUUAGGCAGUGUUCCGGGUAUUUUCCACUUCUCAUUUGGUAUCGUUGCUGGCAAACCGGGCAGAAGUAGAAUUCUUUGCCCACAAAGGAGAAGCACCACACCACCACAUCCUGCCUGCGUGUGAUGAUACUUUCUCCCGUCUUCGGUGUCUCGCGGUGUCGCUGCUGACGGGGAGCGGUGCGCUUUUUUUUGUUGCUUUCUUUUCGCGUGCGUCCAGGUGCUGACCAGGAAAGUUUGCGAAGCUGGCCACAUCCGCUCGGUGGUUGAUUCACGGUCAGCGGUGAAAAAAAGAAAAUUAUUCAUUGUUCUCGCGUACAAAGUGAUGCGGCACUGUGCGUGAAGUUCCCGCUGCGUGUGUGUGAAGAUAUUUGACGGAAGUUGAGGUGGUGCUAUUGUGGUGCUGCCUUCCCCUCCCACCCCAUAGUUGCGCUCGACACGUUGCCAUCCCCAAUUAGGGCCACCUGUGAAAAGGCGUGCGAUGGUGGUGUAGAGCAGAAAUUGGCCAAAAGUGCAGUGAGAAGAUCCGUGUGAGCAAUCGUUGUGCCAGUGUGCCGAAAACCGUUCCUGCCGUAGGAGACGGCGUGUGCAUUGUUUUCGUCUAGCACCCUUCCCGGCGAACCGUAUCGCGCUGAGUGUGAUCCGAUUCUUAAGAACUGCAGCAACCCGCUCGAAAAACACACACACACACGAUGUAUUUCUACAAACAAAAGCUGCUGCAUGCGGCGCAGCUGAAGAAGCUGUACGACCACAAGUAUUCCUGCACCAACGUCAGCCUGAUGGAUCCGUUCCUGCAGCCCUGGUGGUGCUGGCUCGUCUCGAAGGUGCCGCUCUGGUUGGCCCCCAAUCUCAUCACGAUCGUCGGCCUGGCGAUCAACAUCGCCACCACGCUCAUACUGAUCUCCUACAGCCCCACCGGCCGUGAGGAACCCCCGCGAUGGUCGUCGGCCCUGUGCGGCAUCGGCCUGUUCAUCUACCAAAGCCUGGACGCGAUCGAUGGCAAGCAGGCGCGCCGGACCAACUCGUCCUCGCCGCUGGGCGAGCUGUUCGAUCACGGGUGCGACUCCAUCUCGACCGUGUUUGUCGCCCUGUCGGCCUGUAUCUCCGUCCAGCUCGGCUACUACCCGCGGUGGAUGUUUUUCCAGUGCUUCUGCGCGAUGACACUGUUCUACUGUGCCCACUGGCAGACGUACGUGUCCGGUACGCUCCGGUUCGGGCGCAUCGACGUUACCGAGGCCCAGUGCACGAUCAUCGGCAUUCAUAUGAUAUCGGCCAUCUUCGGUCCCUCGAUCUGGAUGACGAAGCUACCGUUGAUGGGGGGCAUCGACAUAAAGACGGUCCCGCUCUACUUUGCCGUGUUUGUGUUCGGACUGCUCGCCUAUCAGAACGCGUCCGUUAUCUUUACCGGUGGCGUGGGCAAAAAUGGAUCUACUGUCGCUGGCACGAGCGUACUAUCGCCGAUCAUCCCGUUCCUGUUCGUCGUAGUGCCGGCGUACGUGAUCUCGCAGAAAUCUACGGACCAGAUCUACGAAAACCAUCCCGCCCUGUACAUAAUGGCGUUCGGGAUGAUUACGGCCAAGGUGACGAACCGGCUGGUGGUCGCCCAUAUGACAAAGAGCGAAAUGGAGUACCUUGACUGGGGACUGAUUGGACCGCUGUGCUUGUUCCUCAACCAGUACUUCAACAGCUUCCUGCCAGAGUACUACGUCCUGUGGUUCUGUUUGCUCUGGUGUACGGUCGAUCUGAUCCGGUACUGUGGGCAGGUGUGUCUAGAAAUUUGCGACUACCUGAAGAUUGAGCUGUUCCGCAUUCCCUACCCACCGAAGCCAGUAAUGACAUCACAAGGUACGAACCCUCCACAGCAUCACCACCACCAUCACCAUCACAGUCACGAUAACAAGAACGGUACGCAUAGUCUAACCAAUAACAACAACAGCGCCGCGACGUCCGCCCAGCAGCAGCAGCAGCAAUCGAUCAACAGAAAGCAAACGCGUGCCAGCAGCAGAAAGCACAAUGCCGCCGCACACUAGUGAGCGCGAGAUCACAGACGAGUGUGUGUGUUUGGUCGCGCACUGGUUGUUAAUAUGGGGAGAGGGGUUGGGACGAUGCUUGGUAUCAGUUGUUGGGGUUUUAUCUUCGAGCUAAAGGAUAUCCGUCAGCAGCGUCGAGAGUUUAUUGUAGUACCAUUCGGAAGGGGGGGAAGGAAAACGGAAGUAAGGCACAACACGAUCACCGCUUUACUAUGAACACUGUUAAACUCGCAAAUGCAUCCUUUCUACGCCAGUGGAACGAAACGAACCUUACUAUCUUUAGCUGCAGCCCAUCCUCUCAUGUAACACAGAAGCGGGGUUGCAUUCGUCUCGCCGGUGAAGCCGCUUUCGUAUACAAUUUUGCUUUCUUUUCUUUGCUGGUACACGGGUAUUAUGCCCUUAGAGAGAUGUAGUGCUGGUAGGCGCUACAUCCCGUCCAUUGCGGCACUGGAAACGCUUCCCUGUUUUUUUCAGUACACAGUAGUAGCGUGUACUCGUCGUACCCUUUUUCGCCUCUAUAUCGUAAAACACUACGGAGUUGUGUCAGUGAACACUAUAUCCACUGAACGGAGUUGCUUAAUGUAGGACAGAUUAGCGGUGGGAAAGAAUUUAGAAGGAAUUUAGAGUAACUAAACACACUGCUUUGAAAUGUUUUUUUUUUUUUAUUUUGGAGAAACUGGGCAGCGCCGAGUACUCUUCACCUUAAUCAUCAUUACCUUAGAGAUGUGCUUUCGUUUGUGUGUUUUGCAACGGGUCCUCCUUUCUUUAUCUUUUUAUUCCCUUUCGAUCCGUUUUGUGCUAACUGUUUGUCAUCGUGGUUUCCUUCUGCUCUCCGACUACUCCCUAAGCGUGUUAAGUUGUUAUCGUUUUCUUUGUGUGCUAUGUGUACCGUUUUCUUGUAUGUGUUAUUAUGUUGAUUAUGUUGUUGCACUUCGCAAGCGUGUAUGUACCGCUAAACCACCGUACACGUAGCGGAGGGGAGUUUGCUCAAAUGUGAAACCCAUAACAGCUAGAUCCGCGGAUUAGACUAAAGGCACACGCGUACACACAAAACCUAGCAUGAUGUGUAUGUGUGUGUGUUAGUGUACGUGAGACAAAAGUGUAGCAAGACAACAGUACAUCAAUGUCCUUAAUGAAAGGAUCAUAUGCUGGAGCAUCACUCACCAAGACAGCUUUCACGAUCCUACAUGAUCGUCAGGCUGUACCAAAACUUUGCCAACUAGACAGAGGACAAGUAGGUCAUGAUUGUGUGCUGUGUGUGCUUCUGAGCAAUGGAUAAUAUUUUUAUAGAAUCAUCUUCUUUUUGUUUUUAUUGUUUGCACGUGCUCUAGUCGGCAUGUUGGAAACAGGAAAGUUGAUCAAUUUGUAAAACGGUUGUGCGGCGAUAGUUGGGGAGAAAUUAAGCAACAUGUAAAAAUAUGUCCCACGUCCCAGUAGGUUUGAAAUAUUUAUAUACACUCACACACACAGAGUAAAGUUAGUUGUAUAAAGCAGUAAACAAAUUUAGAGCGCAGUUCGACGAUCGUAAAGCAAAAUCAUGCGCUUUUUAAUGGGAAGAAGAAGAGGUAGAAAGAAGAAAGCGGCAGGAAGUAGCGUGUAUAAUCAAUCCAAUGAAACCGUGCGUGUGUGUGUCUGUAUGUGUGCGAUCAUUUAAUCCCUGUUAGUAAUCAUUUGUUACUCGUUUUGUAACCUUCCCGCAAUCCCAAAGUGUGUAAUGUAGUGUAGUGUAACCCGCUAGAUUGACUAUGAUUGAAUGAUCAUAACGCCAAAAUGGGAAAGAAAGAAAAGCAAAAGUCGCGUGUAAAAAAAAAAAAACAACAACAGAAUUAUGCUGCAAUGUUUUGAAAAUGCAACUGGAACUGGAAUGAAAAUGUAGUUAAAUCGAAAAAGAAAUUCAUUUAGCAGUUUGCUUAUUUUGGUGAGAAAAUGAAGAAAAUAUUACGGAUCCCUAGCCGCAUCAGUCCACCGAGUCGUGGAACAGGGACGCACUGAUUCGUCCCUUAGUAAAUGUGUCAUUAAUCAACGCCCCUAACGGCCUUUAUGUUACACGUGUCUGAAUGGUCUGCGCAAUGUGGUGUGCAUCUCAGUGUAUGCGUAACAUAUAACGAAGUGUGCAUAUGUGUUAUCCAUAUUGCUUAAAACGAACUCUAUUUCCCACCCACCACCACAACACCUGCCGAAGAAACGGACGAGCUAGACCAGCAGCAGCAGCAGCAA